This 498-nucleotide ribosomal RNA is filed under the name uncultured bacterium. RNAcentral's name for it is "bacterial LSU rRNA". It matches the Rfam family "Bacterial large subunit ribosomal RNA", at positions 1595 to 2078 of the family's 2925-position model. The record is from RNAcentral.
CGAUCCCAUGCUUCCAGGAAAAUCUUCGCGUGGAGCCACUUGGACGCCCGUACCGGAAACCGACACAGGUGAGCUAGGAGAGAAUCCUAAGGUGCUUGAGAGAACUCUGGCCAAGGAACUCGGCAAAUUGACACCGUAACUUCGGGAGAAGGUGUGCCCUUAGUAAGUCACGUCGUACAGACUAGCUGAAAAGGGUUGCAGAGAACAGGGGGUAGCGACUGUUUACCAAAAACACAGGGGCUCUGCGAAGCCGUAAGGCGACGUAUAGGGCCUGACGCCUGCCCGGUGCUGGAAGGUUAAGAGGAGCGGUCAGCGCAAGCGAAGCUGCUAAUUGAAGCCCCAGUAAACGGCGGCCGUAACUAUAACGGUCCUAAGGUAGCGAAAUUCCUUGUCGGGUAAGUUCCGACCUGCACGAAUGGCGUAACGACUUCCCCGCUGUCUCGGCCAGAGACUCAGCGAAAUCAAACUCCGGGCGAUGAUGCCCGGUACCUGCAGCAA